RNAcentral lists this long non-coding RNA (4810 nucleotides) under Gadus morhua (Atlantic cod). RNAcentral describes it as "lncRNA (ENSGMOG00000024821.1)". Lineage: Eukaryota; Metazoa; Chordata; Actinopteri; Gadiformes; Gadidae. The record is from RNAcentral.
AUGUCUUUUGCAAAUUUGAGGAUGACGCCGUCGCAUCAGUUGGUCCUGCGGGCCUCUGAUGCGGCGGCAGCCUUCACGCGGGACCCAGGCUCCCGCCAGGGCCAAGAAGCCGGGGGAGGUGGAGAAGGAGGCCCGAGCCCGCGUCGUCUCCGGGGACGGUGACCCUGGGAACCCCAUGCUGGUGCUGGGCUAAGUACCAGGGUCAGACCCUCAGAUGGCUUCUGGAGAACGACGUGGGCUACGCCUAUCACGUGGUCGCCAGUCACCAGCGGGAGCGGGAGACGAGUGCCUUGGACAGCUCGCUCAUGGACAACAAGGACAGCCUCGCCCGCUACUCCUGCGCCCACUCCGCUUUUGCGGAGCACCUCAAGUUCCGCCGGGUGCAGGAGGAGGCCCGGGCUCGUGCCACCCUGCCCGGGCGGGGGCGAGGCGCUUGUUGGCUUCGGGAUGUUCAAGGAGGCCACCCUGAAGGACCUGUACUACUUCAAGGAGAAGGAGCGUCAGACCUACGUCGAGUGGCUACGGCGGAAGACACCGCAGCCUGGGAGCGCCAUGGACGUCUUCAUAAAGUACAUUCUGGGCCGAGACAAGGAGCGGUCGGCGGAGGCGGCUGCUACACCCCCUCCGCCCGCCAGCAGCAGCAGCAGCAGCGGUGGCGGUGGCGGCGGCGGCGGCAGCAGCAGCAGCAGCGGCCCCACCCCUCGGCCCUUGUGCGUGGGCGUCCGAUGGGCCCAGGGGAGCUGCAGGCCCGGAUCAGGAGACUGAUGACCCCACCAGCACUGCCUGCAGUUCCAGCGGUGUCUUCCGUCAGAGACCUGCGCCCCUCGGUUCCGCCGCCCCCCCACCACAGAGGUGACGGACGAGGAGCUGAUCCGGAUGCUCACCGACGUAGAAAUGGGUAACUGGCCCCACACUGGACGUGUCGCAUGGUAACAUUUGCCUGUGUGGGGAGGAGACGCCGUGCGGGGAGGAGACGCCGUGCGCGGAGGCCACCCUGGCACCAGAGCCCAAGAAGAAGAGGAGGAAGACGACGACGACGACGGGCGACGUGGAGCAGCCGGCACCGCCCACUCCUGCUCGGGCUGAGGUACAGACACACGCCCAUUGUACUCACGCCGGACACACGACUCUGCGGAGACGACGGUCAGACUGUGUGUAGCAGCGACUUGGCCUCCUCACGUUGUGUUUGAUUGUGUUGUCUUCAUCCUCCUCACAGACCCGGUUGCCUGAGGGCUGGCGGACAGCCCUCACCGGGGAGGAGCAGGAGUGGAUCGGCCGGGCGCUGUUCAGGCAGAACAGCGGGGGGGUCCCUCAAGCUCACCACGGACCUCAAGCUGUGGUGGGACCCCCCCCAGCCCCGGCUGAACUACUCUCAGCCACCCGCCUCGGCGGCUGCCUUCUUCGCGUGUCGAUUGUUCCUCUGGGCGCCCCUAAACAUGUGGGGUCCCCGGCCGACAUGCUGCCAGAAACAUCUCACCAAGUGUGGUCUGACCCCGGUACUUGCCCAGCUGGAUGCUGUGGCAGCCCAGCACCAGCACGGGGUUCCCACCAGGGUCACCGCUCCCGGAGACGACGUGGGCUCGGGCCUCCUUCUCCACCUCCUCCGGCUUCUUAGCCCUGGCGGGAGCCUGGGGCCCGCAUGACCCCGUGGGGGCGGUGAAGGCCACCGCCGCAUCAGAGGCCCGCAGGACCGACUGCUGCGACUCGGUCAGCCUGAACACUGCUGAAGACAUGUCUAUCUACAAUGACAACGAAUGACACAGCAUUAAACGAGCACUGCACUAAACAAGCAUUAAAGGUUACUGCCUUAAAGUGGCUUUUAUGUUCAUGGAUGCUUACAGGAAUGAUAAGAGAGGGGCUGACAUGAAAGAUGUCACCUGUGAUAUACAUCUGUGUGUGUGUGUGUGUUUGCAAUGUAUAAAGGGUGGAUUUAGUUUAUGAUUAAUGAGGCACCUUACUGGAAUAGCUAAUAAUAUAAUUUUGCUGCAUUGUAAAAUGCACUGACAAUAAAUUCAUUCUUAUUUUAAACGACAUAUUAAUGGCUAUACUACCAUAUCAUACUCUCGUUUUGAAGGCUUUUCACCGCACCAAACGUUUCAAUGGAAAUCACGACGGUCUGUACUUUCAACAUUGAAGUUUUACAUAUUUGUAAUUCGUUCUGGCCUUUAUACCACAGCUACCCUAGGGUCUAUAGCAUAUAACUGGGUUGUCUGAUUACAGUUUAAUACAUUUGGCACAAUUUGAUGACUCUGACGGUUUUGAAUUGCGGGGGGAUAUCAGCUUUGCACCGGGUGCAAACUAGCAACGAUACAGGAGUAGAAAGUCAAUUGCGCUGGGUGUAAGAUGGGGCCCAUUAUGUUUAAACCAAUAACCACAAAACGAUAACUAUCUUGAGGCUGUUCAUGGGAACACACAACCCAGCCUAUAUAAGACCCACAUCAUCGCAGAAGGGGAAGUUGUGCAACUGAGCAAACUUCAUACUCACCCCAACUGAACUAAAAGGUCAAAUACCUUAGGAUGAAAAUGUUAAACAGCCCUGUGAUACUGGGCAUCUUCAAAGAUCCCAUAAUCUUAUAAUUAUUAAUAGAAAGAAAAUAGGAAAGAAAUUAUGAAUAAUGGCUUUGUGAAAUGUUCUCUUGUAUCAUUUAAAUGUUAAGUGAUGUGAUGAAUGGUUUGGAACAAAAGCUAAAUUGAAGUCUACCGUUAUAAAAGCUUUGGUAAAACAGUGAGGAUGGAAGGGUGUUGGAGUCUGUGAUGACGCGGCUAUUGGCGCGUCCUCACGCGUCCGUAUUGAGGCCGCACCGGGGCAUUUAUCUGACGGGCAAGAGUAUUCACCAGUAAUCAAGUUUCUGCAUAUUGUUUCGGGUUUGUUGAAUUAUGCGAUUGUGGGCGGGUUUGCUUAUUGAGUGGUAAAAAGGAGAACUGCUCACCGCCGUUGUCAGCUGUGCGAUCCCUGCGGCUUCUAGGAAGCGCGCGCCCGACUGGGGACAGCAAUAUGGUGCAGGGGCGUGCGCGAGUGACGCCGUUGCGUCUCCGCAAAAUCAAUUAUCUUUGCUUGAACAUAUACUUUGUAAGUAGUGGCGGGUAUGCACGCACGAAUAAUAACUAAGGUGUUGUAGUUUAAUUAAUUGAAGAUACGUUUGUUUUGACCAGUUUGGAAGCAUAUUUAGUUGAUUGAUAUGUAAACACCCCCGCCGAUAUUUGAGGGAUUGGUAUGUACCAAUCUCGGGUCAGCCGAGUGGCGAAGUCACGCCCCUUCCGGUAGAGCUCAUGGGACCUAUGAGAUCGAAAAAUAUGAAUGGGUGUCAAAGGAGAGAAAAUAAUUAUUUUCUGGUCCCAGUCUUUAUAAGCCCUGGAUUACACAUAUUUUGUUUGUGGAUUUAAAUUAUAAUUGUUCAUGCAAAGAAAACUAAAAAUGUUCGUGAAGAAGUUUGAUAAUCCUUUUUACCACUCACAGAGAUAGCACAUAGAGAUGGCACAUAACUAAAACUCUCCACAUGCCCCGACUUAUAGUGGUUUUCACCUCUUUCUAUGCUUUUAUUGCCUUGAAAAAAAGUGGUGAAGUGGAGCAGAGAGAUCACCAUCUCUGUGCCGAUUUCCAAGUGCGGGUGUGGUGACGUAUAUCAUAUGCGUCGAGAGCAGCGAAGAGCUGUAGUUCAUAAAGCGGCCUCACAUAAAACCUAAAAUUAUCAAACUUCUUCACGAACAUUUUUAGUUUUCUUUGCAUGAAAAAUUAUCAUUUAAAUCCACAAACAACAUAUGUGUAAUCCAGGGCAUAUAAAGACUGGGAACAGAAAAUAAUUAUUUUCUCUCCAUUGACACCCAUUCAUAUUUUUCGAUCUCAUAGGUCCCAUGAGCUCUACCGGAAGGGGCGUGACUUCGCCACUCCAUAAGGGAGCCGUGUCAGUCCCGGGAGGGCGAGCUAGAAGGCGGAAGCUAGGCCAUGUGCUCUCUGUAUAUGCUCUGUUAUGUGAGAAGAAAAUGGAAAUAAAAGUAAUUUUUGCUUCACCACUGCCUUUUUGUGCUAACCCUAAGGCCGCUCGACAUUCUACCCCUUGACAGAGUCCAAGCCCAAAGGUUCAGGGUCCAAACACCAUUGCAAGAAGCCCUACCUCCCUAGUUAUUAAUAUGACUCGGGAAAAAUAAUCAGACUAAGUCACUUUAGAGCAGCGGUCCCCAACCUUUUCAGCAUCAAGGACCGGUAUGAUUCUCCGAAAAGUUUCACGGACCGGGGCGGGGGGGUGGUUGGGUUAUGUUGCGCAGAGGUUGCCAAAAAUGCAAACAUGUUAUGUGCAAUCUAACAACUGCAUAUAGACUUAUGGCAUGUAAAAGAGUGACAGUAUUGCGAAGUGAAUAAAAUAAAUAAAUAAAUAAAUAAAUAAUCUUUCUCUGCGGAACGGUACCAAAUGACCCACGGACCGGUACCGGUCCGCGGACCGGGGGUUGGGGACCGCUGCUUAAGAGGACAGUGUUUGCUAAAUGAUUGAACUGAAGGUUAAACCUUGAUGUCUCUGUUGUACUGUCAAUGUGAAGAGAUCUGUUUCAUUCUUUACUGGUGGACCCUUGCUGGUCAGUCUAGUUGUUAGGGUUUGUGUUAUCAGGGCAAUCUGCCAUAAGGGGAUACAGCUGAUACAGCUCAAGUGUUUGCCUCAUUUCAUUGGUUCUCAUGAAACGGCCUUGACUAUCUGCAGAUGUGUCAGCAUUUGAGCAUUUGCGUAACAAAUUAUGGACUGUUUUUAAUCUCUUUUAGGUCAAGAAGGUGCAUUAUGCACAAGAUUGUCUCUUGGGCAUCAUAACAAUUAUUAAUGUG